CAAGUCGAGCGGUAGCACAGAGAGCUUGCUCUCGGGUGACGAGCGGCGGACGGGUGAGUAAUGUCUGGGAAACUGCCUGAUGGAGGGGGAUAACUACUGGAAACGGUAGCUAAUACCGCAUAACGUCGCAAGACCAAAGUGGGGGACCUUCGGGCCUCAUGCCAUCAGAUGUGCCCAGAUGGGAUUAGCUAGUAGGUGGGGUAACGGCUCACCUAGGCGACGAUCCCUAGCUGGUCUGAGAGGAUGACCAGCCACACUGGAACUGAGACACGGUCCAGACUCCUACGGGAGGCAGCAGUGGGGAAUAUUGCACAAUGGGCGCAAGCCUGAUGCAGCCAUGCCGCGUGUGUGAAGAAGGCCUUCGGGUUGUAAAGCACUUUCAGCGGGGAGGAAGGCGGUGAGGUUAAUAACCUCAUCGAUUGACGUUACCCGCAGAAGAAGCACCGGCUAACUCCGUGCCAGCAGCCGCGGUAAUACGGAGGGUGCAAGCGUUAAUCGGAAUUACUGGGCGUAAAGCGCACGCAGGCGGUCUGUCAAGUCGGAUGUGAAAUCCCCGGGCUCAACCUGGGAACUGCAUUCGAAACUGGCAGGCUAGAGUCUUGUAGAGGGGGGUAGAAUUCCAGGUGUAGCGGUGAAAUGCGUAGAGAUCUGGAGGAAUACCGGUGGCGAAGGCGGCCCCCUGGACAAAGACUGACGCUCAGGUGCGAAAGCGUGGGGAGCAAACAGGAUUAGAUACCCUGGUAGUCCACGCCGUAAACGAUGUCGAUUUGGAGGUUGUGCCCUUGAGGCGUGGCUUCCGGAGCUAACGCGUUAAAUCGACCGCCUGGGGAGUACGGCCGCAAGGUUAAAACUCAAAUGAAUUGACGGGGGCCCGCACAAGCGGUGGAGCAUGUGGUUUAAUUCGAUGCAACGCGAAGAACCUUACCUGGUCUUGACAUCCACAGAACUUUCCAGAGAUGGAUUGGUGCCUUCGGGAACUGUGAGACAGGUGCUGCAUGGCUGUCGUCAGCUCGUGUUGUGAAAUGUUGGGUUAAGUCCCGCAACGAGCGCAACCCUUAUCCUUUGUUGCCAGCGGUUCGGCCGGGAACUCAAAGGAGACUGCCAGUGAUAAACUGGAGGAAGGUGGGGAUGACGUCAAGUCAUCAUGGCCCUUACGACCAGGGCUACACACGUGCUACAAUGGCAUAUACAAAGAGAAGCGACCUCGCGAGAGCAAGCGGACCUCAUAAAGUAUGUCGUAGUCCGGAUUGGAGUCUGCAACUCGACUCCAUGAAGUCGGAAUCGCUAGUAAUCGUAGAUCAGAAUGCUACGGUGAAUACGUUCCCGGGCCUUGUACACACCGCCCGUCACACCAUGGGAGUGGGUUGCAAAAGAAGUAGGUAGCUUAACCUUCGGGAGGGCGCUUACCACUUUGUGAUUCAUGACUGGGGUGAAGUCGUAACAAGGUAACCGUAGGGGAACCUGCGGUUG
RNAcentral lists this ribosomal RNA (1470 nucleotides) under Klebsiella pneumoniae. Its description in RNAcentral is "bacterial SSU rRNA". It matches the Rfam family "Bacterial small subunit ribosomal RNA". Lineage: Bacteria; Pseudomonadati; Pseudomonadota; Gammaproteobacteria; Enterobacterales; Enterobacteriaceae. The record is from RNAcentral.